RNAcentral lists this ribosomal RNA (435 nucleotides) under Triticum aestivum (bread wheat). Its description in RNAcentral is "partial small subunit ribosomal RNA". Lineage: Eukaryota; Viridiplantae; Streptophyta; Magnoliopsida; Poales; Poaceae. The record is from RNAcentral.
AUGAAGUGUCUAACAAAGAAGAACACACAAUUGUCCCAGGAGCUCGAAGGGUGCAAGGCUAAGCUCGAGGCCGCAUUGGCCGCUUCAGAGAAUGUCAAGGGGACGCUCGCAGGUAAUAUGUUCUUUGAAAGGUACCUCCGUUUUGUAAUGCGGCAGGCGUGCAACCCUGACUAUAAUAAUGCAGAUGAGGCUGGAGCAAAUCCGGACCAGCAACAACUCCUACGCCAACUAAAGGCUGGCGAGAACGUGCUGACGAGGGUGAGGCAAGAGAAGAACAAGCUUCAAGACGCCAAUACCCAGCUAGGCGAGGAACUGAAAGAUGUUCGCAUUCAGCUGUCUUCUGCCGUAAAGGAGAAUCGGCGACUUCGACACGGCAUUUUUAGUAAGUGCUUGAACGAAUCUUCGAAAAAAGAAUUCAGCGAGGAAGUCGAUUGA